CAGUAGCCGCGGGAAUACGAAGGGUGCAAGCGUUACUCGGAGUUACUGGGCGUAAAGCGUGCGUAGGUGGUGGUUUAAGUCCGUUGUGAAAGCCCUGGGCUCAACCUGGGAAUUGCAGUGGAUACUGGAUCACUAGAGUGUGGUAGAGGAUAGCGGAAUUUCCGGUGUAGCAGUGAAAUGCGUAGAGAUCGGAAGGAACAUCUGUGGCGAAGGCGACUAUCUGGGCCAACACUGACACUGAGGCACGAAAGCGUGGGGAGCAAACAGGAUUAGAUACCCCUGUAGUCCCUGUCUCUUAUAC
RNAcentral lists this ribosomal RNA (301 nucleotides) under uncultured bacterium. RNAcentral's name for it is "partial 16S ribosomal RNA". It matches the Rfam family "Bacterial small subunit ribosomal RNA", at positions 509 to 807 of the family's 1533-position model. The record is from RNAcentral.